GCCAUGUUGCCCAGGCUGGUUUCCAACUCCUGGACUCAAGCGAUCCUCCCUCCUCUGACUCCCAAAGUGCUGGGAUUACAAGCUUGAGCCACCAUGCCCUGGGUUGGGCCAGCAUUUAAAAAGACCUCUGCAUAGGGGGAAGCCUGGGGCAGGGGACAUGAAUUGCUCAGUCCUAACUCACCCCCACCCUUGUAGGAAGCUCUCUAAACUGCUUGGCUGUGUGGAAGGGGCCUGGGGCAGGGAUGUAGGAUCCCCUCAGCCCCACCCCAAGCUCUACCCUGCUUGCAGGUCCAACCUCCUGGGGAACCGCUUCACGGUCUUUGACAACGGGCAGAACCCACAGCGUGGGUACAGCACUAAUGUGGCAAGCCUUCGGCAGGAGCUGGCAGCUGUGAUCUAUGUGAGGACUCCACCUGUCCCCCAUGCCAGGCUGCUCCCCUUACAGGGGCUGGCCUCACAGGCAUCUGUUUCCUUCCCAGGAAACCAACGUGCUGGGCUUCCGUGGCCCCCGGCGCAUGACCGUCAUCAUUCCUGGCAUGAGUGCGGAGAACGAGAGGGUCCCCAUCCGGCCCCGAAAUGCUAGUGACGGCCUGCUGGUGCGCUGGCAGAACAAGACGCUGGAGAGCCUCAUAGAACUGCACAACAAGCCACCUGUCUGGAA
This 661-nucleotide small RNA is filed under the name Pan troglodytes (chimpanzee). Its description in RNAcentral is "retained intron". The record is from RNAcentral. Lineage: Eukaryota; Metazoa; Chordata; Mammalia; Primates; Hominidae.